AUCCAGCUGACAAGUUCUGAAUAGGACGAAACGCUUGUCCUGGAU
RNAcentral lists this non-coding RNA (45 nucleotides) under Schistosoma mansoni. The record is from RNAcentral. Lineage: Eukaryota; Metazoa; Platyhelminthes; Trematoda; Strigeidida; Schistosomatidae.